Non-coding RNA from Chionomys nivalis (European snow vole), 360 nucleotides. The record is from the annotation of a RefSeq genome assembly. Lineage: Eukaryota; Metazoa; Chordata; Mammalia; Rodentia; Cricetidae.
AUGAAAUCCUUGAUUGUUUCCCUAGUGUUCCUGUGGCUUCACUUUAAUUGGGUGAGCAGCCAGCAGAAGUUGCAGCAGAACCCGGAAUUUCUCAGUGUCCCAGAAGGAACCAUGGCUUCUUUCAACUGCACUUUCAGUGAUGGCAAUUCUGAUGACUUCAGGUGGUACAGACAGCAGCCUGGGAAAGGCCCCAAGUUGCUCAUGUCUAUAUUCUCUAGUGGAGAAAAAGAAGAAGGUAGAUUCACAAUUCACCUCAACAAAGACAGCAGGCAUGUUUCUCUGCACAUCAGAGUCUCCCAGCCCAGUGAUUCAGCUGUCUAUUUUUGUGCAGUGAGAACACAGUGCUCCCCAGGCACCUAG